RNAcentral lists this ribosomal RNA (479 nucleotides) under uncultured bacterium. RNAcentral's name for it is "partial 16S ribosomal RNA". It matches the Rfam family "Bacterial small subunit ribosomal RNA", at positions 28 to 523 of the family's 1533-position model. The record is from RNAcentral.
GACGAACGCUGGCGGCGUGCUUAACACAUGCAAGUCGAGCGAUGAAGCACCUUCGGGUGUGAAUUAGCGGCGAACGGGUGAGGAACACGUGAAGAAUCUGCCUUCAACUCUGGGAUAACUCCGGGAAACCGGGGCUAAUACCGGAUAUGAGCCUUGAUCGCAUGAUCGGGGCUGGAAAGUUUUUCGGUUGAAGAUGACUUCGCGGCCUAUCAGCUUGUUGGUGAGGUAAUGGCUCACCAAGGCGACGACGGGUAGCCGGCCUGAGAGGGCGACCGGCCACACUGGGACUGAGACACGGCCCAGACUCCUACGGGAGGCAGCAGUGGGGAAUAUUGGGCAAUGGAGGAAACUCUGACCCAGCGAUGCCGCGUGAGGGAUGAAGGCCUUCGGGUUGUAAACCUCUUUCAGUAGAGAAGAAGCGAAAGUGACGGUACCUACAGAAGAAGCACCGGCUAACUAUGUGCCAGCAGCCGCAGUAA